UUGUAAGCGGCAGAUGGGAGCUUGCUCCCUGAUGUUAGCGGCGGACGGGUGAGUAACACGUGGGUAACCUGCCUGUAAGACUGGGAUAACUCCGGGAAACCGGGGCUAAUACCGGAUGGUUGUUUGAACCGCAUGGUUCAGACAUAAAAGGUGGCUUCGGCUACCACUUACAGAUGGACCCGCGGCGCAUUAGCUAGUUGGUGAGGUAACGGCUCACCAAGGCGACGAUGCGUAGCCGACCUGAGAGGGUGAUCGGCCACACUGGGACUGAGACACGGCCCAGACUCCUACGGGAGGCAGCAGUAGGGAAUCUUCCGCAAUGGACGAAAGUCUGACGGAGCAACGCCGCGUGAGUGAUGAAGGUUUUCGGAUCGUAAAGCUCUGUUGUUAAGGAAGAACAAGUGCCGUUCAAUAGGGCGGCACCUUUGACNGUACCUAACCAAAAGCCACGGUUACUUCCUGCCACAACCGCGGUAAUACGUAGGGGGCAACGUUGUCCGAAUUUUGGGCGUAAAGGCUCCAGCGGUUCUAAUCUGAUUGAAGCCCCGUCACCGGGAGGG
Molecule: ribosomal RNA, 560 nt
Filed under: Bacillus sp. WA16T4
Lineage: Bacteria; Bacillati; Bacillota; Bacilli; Caryophanales; Bacillaceae
Description: bacterial SSU rRNA
Rfam family: Bacterial small subunit ribosomal RNA
Source: RNAcentral